This 292-nucleotide ribosomal RNA is filed under the name uncultured bacterium. Its description in RNAcentral is "partial 16S ribosomal RNA". The record is from RNAcentral.
GGACUACAGGGGUUUCUAAUCCCGUUCGCUACCCACGCUUUCGUGCUUGAGUGUCAGGAACGCGCCAGUGAAUUGCCUUCGCUUUCGGUGUUCCCCAUGAUAUCAACGGAUUUCACCCCUACACCAUGAGUUCCAUUCACCUCUCACGCCCUCGAGUCGUACCGUUUCGCCCGCGGAUCCAGGGUUGAGCCCUGGGUUUUGACAGACGACUAAUACGACCACCUACGCACUCUUUACGCCCAGUAAUUCCGGGUAACGCUCGGGGCCUCUGUAUUACCGCGGCGGCUGGCAC